GACGAACGCUGGCGGCGCGCCUAACACAUGCAAGUCGAACGAGCGAGAGAGAGCUUGCUUUCUUGAGCGAGUGGCGAACGGGUGAGUAACGCGUGAGGAACCUGCCUCAAAGAGGGGGACAACAGUUGGAAACGACUGCUAAUACCGCAUAAGCCCACGACCCGGCAUCGGGUUGAGGGAAAAGGAGCAAUCCGCUUUGAGAUGGCCUCGCGUCCGAUUAGCUAGUUGGUGAGGUAACGGCCCACCAAGGCGACGAUCGGUAGCCGGACUGAGAGGUUGAACGGCCACAUUGGGACUGAGACACGGCCCAGACUCCUACGGGAGGCAGCAGUGGGGAAUAUUGCAAAAUGGGGGAAACCCUGAUGCAGCGACGCCGCGUGGAGGAAGAAGGUCUUCGGAUUGUAAACUCCUGUUGUUGAGGAAGAUAAUGACGGUACUCAACAAGGAAGUGACGGCUAACUACGUG
Molecule: ribosomal RNA, 466 nt
Filed under: uncultured bacterium
Lineage: Bacteria
Description: partial 16S ribosomal RNA
Rfam family: Bacterial small subunit ribosomal RNA
Source: RNAcentral